Molecule: ribosomal RNA, 918 nt
Filed under: Stagonosporopsis cucurbitacearum
Lineage: Eukaryota; Fungi; Ascomycota; Dothideomycetes; Pleosporales; Didymellaceae
Description: partial large subunit ribosomal RNA
Rfam family: Eukaryotic large subunit ribosomal RNA
Source: RNAcentral
AAACUACAUACAAUAGCGGAGGAAAAGAAACCAACAGGGAUUGCCCUAGUAACGGCGAGUGAAGCGGCAACAGCUCAAAUUUGAAAUCUGGCGUCUUCGGCGUCCGAGUUGUAAUUUGCAGAGGGCGCUUUGGCAUUGGCAGCGGUCCAAGUUCCUUGGAACAGGACGUCACAGAGGGUGAGAAUCCCGUACGUGGUCGCUAGCCUUUACCGUGUAAAGCCCCUUCGACGAGUCGAGUUGUUUGGGAAUGCAGCUCUAAAUGGGAGGUAAAUUUCUUCUAAAGCUAAAUACUGGCCAGAGACCGAUAGCGCACAAGUAGAGUGAUCGAAAGAUGAAAAGCACUUUGGAAAGAGAGUUAAAAAGCACGUGAAAUUGUUGAAAGGGAAGCGCUUGCAGCCAGACUUGCCUGUAGUUGCUCAUCCGGGUUUCUACCCGGUGCACUCUUCUAUAGGCAGGCCAGCAUCAGUUUGGGCGGUUGGAUAAAGGUCUCUGUCAUGUACCUCCUUUCGGGGAGAUCUUAUAGGGGAGACGACAUGCAACCAGCCUGGACUGAGGUCCGCGCAUCUGCUAGGAUGCUGGCGUAAUGGCUGUAAGCGGCCCGUCUUGAAACACGGACCAAGGAGUCUAACAUCUAUGCGAGUGUUUGGGUGUCAAGCCCGAACGCGUAAUGAAAGUGAACGGAGGUGGGAACCUUUCGGGGUGCACCAUCGACCGAUCCUGAUGUCUUCGGAUGGAUUUGAGUAAGAGCAUAGCUGUUGGGACCCGAAAGAUGGUGAACUAUGCUUGAAUAGGGUGAAGCCAGAGGAAACUCUGGUGGAGGCUCGCAGCGGUUCUGACGUGCAAAUCGAUCGUCAAAUUUGGGCAUAGGGGCGAAAGACUAAUCGAACUAUCUAGUAGCUGGUCCUGCAGAUUCCCCCC